This is a long non-coding RNA of Daphnia magna, 361 nucleotides long. RefSeq lists it as uncharacterized. Lineage: Eukaryota; Metazoa; Arthropoda; Branchiopoda; Diplostraca; Daphniidae. The record is from RefSeq and is a predicted model, not a curated record. The transcript is spliced from 3 exons.
UUGCCUAUCAACUGGGUUUUCAAGAAGAUUUGAGUUUCCUGUAUAAUAAAAAAAAAAAAAAAAAAGUGAGAAUAGAGUCUCAAACAUGUUACAUACUUCACAAAAUAUCUAUGUUAUGCAAAACAAGACUAGUAAUACCUUCAGAGAGAGGGCCAGCUUUAGACGAUGUUUCUUCCAGUGGAUCACAUGGAGUAGUAUCAGUGGUGGCAGCAGGAAUAGUAUUUUUCAAGAGGUCAAAAAUAUAGUAGUCUAACUCUGAUGAAUCAACUGCUCCAACUCCUAAAACACAUCCUUCGUGCAUGGAAGUAGGUGUAUUUGCUGGAAUUCUACUUUUAUUCAAGUAAACUCCAUUCAAACUCUA